GAUGAACGCUGGCGGCGUGCCUAAUACAUGCAAGUCGAGCGAACGGACCAGAAGCUUGCUUCUCGGAUGUUAGCCGCGGGCGGGUGAGUAACACGUGGAUAACCUCCCUAUAAGACUGGGAUAACUUCGGGAAACCGUAUCUAAUACCAGAUGAUAUUUUGAUCCGCAUGGUUCAAUAGUGAGAGACGGUCUUGCUGUCACUUAUAGAUGGUUCCGGGCUUCAUUAGCUAGUUGUUAAGGUAACGGCUUACCAAGGCAACGAUGCAUAGCCGACCUGAGAGGGUGAUCGGCCACCUUAGAACUGAGCCACGGUCCAGACUACUACGAGAGGCAGCAGACGGGAAUCUGCGGCAAUGGGCGAAAGCCUGACAGAGCAACGCAGCGUGUGUGACGGAAGUGUUGGGAUCGGGAAACCGUGUUAUUAGGGGAGAACAGAUGUGUAAGUAACUGUGCAGAUUUUGACGGUACCUAAUCAGAAAGCCACGGCUAACUACGUG
Molecule: ribosomal RNA, 497 nt
Filed under: uncultured bacterium
Lineage: Bacteria
Description: partial 16S ribosomal RNA
Rfam family: Bacterial small subunit ribosomal RNA
Source: RNAcentral